GCCGCCUCUUUCUGUGAUCACUGCCACGAAUUAUGUGCUUCGAGUGCUGAAUACUAAAUGAAGUCGGAAAAGUAGCGCGAGCCUACGUGAACUUGGCCGAAAUUACGGUUAUCGAGGCAAUCGGCCCCGUCUGCGCCGCUGCGACGACAACGUCGCGUCGCGCCGACGACGAGGCGAAAGGCCGUGGGCGUACGGCGAGUUUCUCUCGCGACGAAUUUUAUUAAGGCGAACGAACGACUGACGGAGCUCCCGAGGCAAUCGAGUGGAGGACAUAUGCCUAUGCGCGGUAUGAGCGACCACGGCGGUGGCGACGAGGACAAUGGUGGAACGACCGCUUUGAUGAACCGUUUCCAUCUAGUUUUCAGUUUUGAGUGCAUUUCUUUUGCUUUCAUUUGUAUCAAAUUCUUGCGCAAAUACUCUUAAAUGAAAGACAGAAAAACUUAAACGCUUCCGGCGGGUCACUAGCAACGUCGA
Molecule: long non-coding RNA, 474 nt
Organism: Hyposmocoma kahamanoa
Lineage: Eukaryota; Metazoa; Arthropoda; Insecta; Lepidoptera; Cosmopterigidae
Exons: 3
Source: RefSeq, a predicted model, not a curated record